GGAUUAGAUACCCUGGUAGUCCACACUGUAAACGCUGUCUACUAGCUGUGUGUGAAUUUAAUUCGUGCGUAGCGAAGCUAACGCGCUAAGUAGACCGCCUGGGGAGUACGGCCGCAAGGUUAAAACUCAAAUGAAUUGACGGGGGCCCGCACAAGCGGUGGAGCAUGUGGUUUAAUUCGAUGCAACGCGAAGAACCUUACCUACACUUGACAUGUUGAGAAGUUUUCAGAGAUGAAUUCGUGCCUUCGGGAACUCAAACACAGGUGCUGCAUGGCUGUCGUCAGCUCGUGCCG
This 293-nucleotide ribosomal RNA is filed under the name uncultured bacterium. RNAcentral describes it as "partial 16S ribosomal RNA". It matches the Rfam family "Bacterial small subunit ribosomal RNA", at positions 775 to 1067 of the family's 1533-position model. The record is from RNAcentral.